UCUCCGUUGGUGAACCAGCGGAGGGAUCAUUACAGAGUUGCAAAACUCCCAAACCAUUGUGAACGGUACCUAUCCCGUUGCUUCGGCGGGCGGCCCGGGCCCCGCGCCCGGCGCCCCCCGGCCCCCCGUGGGCGCCCGCCGGAGGUAAACCAAACCCUUGAAUUGCAUGGCCUCUCUGAGUCUUCUGUACUGAAUAAGUCAAAGCUUUCAACAACGGAUCUCUUGGUUCUG
This 231-nucleotide unclassified non-coding RNA is filed under the name plant metagenome. Its description in RNAcentral is "partial contains small subunit ribosomal RNA, internal transcribed spacer 1, and 5.8S ribosomal RNA". The record is from RNAcentral.